Molecule: ribosomal RNA, 442 nt
Filed under: uncultured bacterium
Lineage: Bacteria
Description: partial 16S ribosomal RNA
Rfam family: Bacterial small subunit ribosomal RNA
Source: RNAcentral
CCUACGGGGGGCAGCAGUGGGGAAUAUUGGGCAAUGGGCGCAAGCCUGACCCAGCAACGCCGCGUGAAGGAAGAAGGCUUUCGGGUUGUAAACUUCUUUUUUCAGGGAAGAGUAGAAGACGGUACCUGACGAAUAAGCCACGGCUAACUACGUGCCAGCAGCCGCGGUAAUACGUAGGUGGCAAGCGUUUUCCGGAUUUACUGGGGGUAAAGGGCGUCUAGCCGGGUUGACAAGUCAGAUGUGAAAUCCUGCGGGUUAACCGCAGAACUGCAUUUGAAACUGUUGAUCUUGAGUACCGGAGAGGUAGACGGAAUGCCUGGGGUAGCGGUGAAAUGCGUAGAUAUUAGGAGGAACACCGGUGGCGAAGGCGGCCUGCUGGACUGCAACUGACGUUGAGGCCCGAAAGCGUGGGGAGCAAACAGGAUUAGAUACCCCUGUAGUC